This 250-nucleotide ribosomal RNA is filed under the name uncultured bacterium. Its description in RNAcentral is "partial 16S ribosomal RNA". It matches the Rfam family "Bacterial small subunit ribosomal RNA", at positions 355 to 598 of the family's 1533-position model. The record is from RNAcentral.
UCGAGAAUUUUUCUCAAUGGGGGAAACCCUGAAGGAGCGACGCCGCGUGGGGGAUGAAUGGCUUCGGCCCGUAAACCCCUGUCAUUUGCGAUCAAACCUUACGAUCUAAUAAGUCGUGAGCUGAUAGUAGCGAAAGAGGAAGGGACGGCUAACUCUGUGCCAGCAGCCGCGGUAAUACAGAGGUCCCAAGCGUUGUUCGGAUUCACUGGGCGUAAAGGGUGCGUAGGUGGUCGGGUAAGUCUGAUGUGAA